CAGUCGCCACGGGAAUACGGAGGGAGCUAGCGUUGUUCGGAAUUACUGGGCGUAAAGCGCGCGUAGGCGGUUACUCAAGUCAGAGGUGAAAGCCCGGGGCCCAACCCCGGAACUGCCUUUGAAACUAGGUGACUAGAAUCUUGGAGAGGUCAGUGGAAUUCCGAGUGUAGAGGUGAAAUUCGUAGAUAUUCGGAAGAACACCAGUGGCGAAGGCGACUGACUGGACAAGUAUUGACGCUGAGGUGCGAAAGCGUGGGGAGCAAACAGGAUUAGAUACCCCUGUAGUCCCUGUCUCUUAUAU
RNAcentral lists this ribosomal RNA (301 nucleotides) under uncultured bacterium. Its description in RNAcentral is "partial 16S ribosomal RNA". It matches the Rfam family "Bacterial small subunit ribosomal RNA", at positions 509 to 809 of the family's 1533-position model. The record is from RNAcentral.